GGUCAGAAGGAAGAGGAAGAAGUCUCAUAUGCCACGUUGCCACGAUUUCUACACGUAGACUGAAAUUUGGCACUGAGAACCGAUGUAAUUUGUUAAGGAAAGUAUUUGCUCAUAAAGAAGCAAGAACCCAAGGUCUAAACGCGUUUUCCGUCUUAAACAAAGCAAGACGACAAAGCAGUGCCUCGUAACAACCGUCUACGAUGAGAUUGGACGCGCUCCCAGAAAAGACAUCAGAUUCGUGUUCGCCAGCGCCCGCACCCAUGUCAACGUUGUUUUGCGUGUCGAAGUUUGUCGUAUAGUCAACUUGCAGGGUUGACAUUUGAUUUGGUUUGAAAUGUAAUGUUUGCUUUAGGUUGUAAUAUUCUGCAUCAAAACGUGCAUCGAAUGAAGUACAGCGUGUAACAAAUGUUUUAUGCAUGGAACUUCUA
Molecule: long non-coding RNA, 428 nt
Organism: Lingula anatina
Lineage: Eukaryota; Metazoa; Brachiopoda; Lingulata; Lingulida; Lingulidae
Source: RefSeq, a predicted model, not a curated record